Molecule: ribosomal RNA, 1379 nt
Filed under: metagenome
Description: bacterial SSU rRNA
Rfam family: Bacterial small subunit ribosomal RNA
Source: RNAcentral
CGGUGCGAAAGUGACGCUAAUACCGGAUAAUAUCAUAGAGACCUUGGUUUUUAUGAUCAAAGAUGGCCUCUCCUUGGAAGCUAUUGUUUGGAGAUGAGCCCGCGUCCCAUUAGCUUGUUGGUGGGGUAAUGGCCUACCAAGGCUACGAUGGGUAGCUGGUCUGAGAGGAUGAUCAGCCACACUGGAACUGACACACGGUCCAGACUCCUACGGGAGGCAGCAGUGAGGAAUUUUGCGCAAUGGGGGAAACCCUGACGCAGCAACGCCGCGUGAGUGAUGAAGGCUUUCGGGUCGUAAAGCUCUGUCAAGUGGGAAGAACUCCCGUGAGGUUAAUACCCUCAUGGUUUGACGGUACCACUGAAGGAAGCACCGGCUAACUCCGUGCCAGCAGCCGCGGUAAUACGGGGGGUGCAAGCGUUAUUCGGAUUUACUGGGCGUAAAGCGCGCGUAGGCGGCCGUUUAAGUCAGAUGUGAAAGCCCGGGGCUCAACCCCGGAAGUGCAUUUGAUACUAUUCGGCUUGAGUAUGGGAGAGGGAAGUGGAAUUCCUGGUGUAGAGGUGAAAUUCGUAGAUAUCAGAAGGAACACCGGUGGCGAAGGCGACUUCCUGGACCAAUACUGACGCUGAGGCGCGAAGGCGUGGGUAGCAAACAGGAUUAGAUACCCUGGUAGUCCACGCAGUAAACGGUGAUCACUAGGUGUAGCGGGUAUUGACCCCUGCUGUGCCGCAGCUAACGCAUUAAGUGAUCCGCCUGGGGAGUACGGCCGCAAGGUUAAAACUCAAAGGAAUUGACGGGGGCCCGCACAAGCGGUGGAGCAUGUGGUUUAAUUCGACGCAACGCGAAGAACCUUACCUGGAUUUGACAUCUCGGGAAUUUCUAUGAAAGUAGAAAGUGCCCUUCGGGGAGCCCGAUGACAGGUGCUGCACGGCUGUCGUCAGCUCGUGUCGUGAGAUGUUGGGUUAAGUCCCGCAACGAGCGCAACCCCUAUCUUUAGUUACCAGCACUUCGGGUGGGGACUCUAAAGAUACCGCCCCGGUCAACGGGGAGGAAGGUGGGGAUGACGUCAAGUCCUCAUGGCCUUUAUGUCCAGGGCUACACACGUGCUACAAUGGGCAGUACAGAGGGUCGCGACACUGCGAGGUGGAGCUAAUCCCUUAAAGCUGUUCCAAGUUCGGAUUGGAGUCUGCAACUCGACUCCAUGAAGCUGGAAUCGCUAGUAAUCGCGGACCAGCAUGCCGCGGUGAAUACGUUCCCGGGCCUUGUACACACCGCCCGUCACACCAUGAGAGUUGGUUGUACCCGACGUCGCUGGGCUAACUCAUUAGAGAUGCAGGCGCCUAAGGUAUGGCUGAUGAUUGGGGUGAAGUCGAAACAAGGUA